This is a long non-coding RNA of Prosopis cineraria, 426 nucleotides long. RefSeq lists it as uncharacterized. The transcript is spliced from 3 exons. NCBI's taxonomy places the organism in Eukaryota, Viridiplantae, Streptophyta, Magnoliopsida, Fabales, Fabaceae. The record is from RefSeq and is a predicted model, not a curated record.
UCCAAAUAAGAUAUGCAUCACAAACUAUCUCCUUAUGGCAUGAAAGGUCACACACACGUACACACAGCCUCGGUUGCAGAUGAUCUCCUCCAAAAGGUCAUUAAAAGGUACCGGAAAUGAAAUAGACUUAUUCAGUCUCAAUUUUCCUGUUGAUGCUGCCUGUUGUUGGUUAGGAAAGUGGCAUCCUAGAGGAGAACGUUGAUGCUGCAAAAAUUUUAACAAAAAAUCCUUAUUUGAAUUUAUCAUGUCAAGAGCAUCCAAGAAAUCCUUGAAGAGAAAAGUUUUACCGGGACAUUCGAUUCCAAAAAGAAAAAAGAAAUAGUCAGAUAUGAAGCUUUUUUCCUUGGAACAGUCCAGAGUAAACUUACAGGCAGGAUUUUUUCCACCACUAUUCUUCUUGUGUGUGAGCCUUUUCUUGACAUUAUG